This 337-nucleotide unclassified non-coding RNA is filed under the name soil metagenome. Its description in RNAcentral is "partial contains 5.8S ribosomal RNA, internal transcribed spacer 2, and large subunit ribosomal RNA". The stretch from base 1 to 120 matches the Rfam family "5.8S ribosomal RNA", at positions 35 to 154 of the family's 154-position model. The record is from RNAcentral.
GAUGAAGAACGUAGCGAAAUGCGAUAAGUAGUGUGAAUUGCAGAAUUCAGUGAAUCAUCGAAUCUUUGAACGCACAUUGCGCCCCUUGGUAUUCCAUGGGGCAUGCCUGUUCGAGCGUCAUUUGUACCUUCAAGCUCUGCUUGGUGUUGGGUGUUUGUCUCGCCUCUGCGUGUAGACUCGCCUCAAAAUAAUUGGCAGCCGGCGUAUUGAUUUCGGAGCGCAGUACAUCUCGCGCUUUGCACUCAUAACGACGACGUCCAAAAGUACAUUUUUACACACUUGACCUCGGAUCAGGUAGGGAUACCCGCUGAACUUAAGCAUAUCAAUAAGCGGAGGA